This 1237-nucleotide ribosomal RNA is filed under the name metagenome. RNAcentral's name for it is "bacterial LSU rRNA". It matches the Rfam family "Bacterial large subunit ribosomal RNA", at positions 1564 to 2808 of the family's 2925-position model. The record is from RNAcentral.
UGAGUACGAGACGCUAAGGCGUCGAAGUAGUGUAUGUCAUACUUCCAAGAAAAGCUUGCACUGUCAUUCAUAAAAAAUGCCUGUACCAUAACCGACACAGGUGGGUAGGUAGAGUAUACUAAGGGGCGCGAGAUAACUCUCUCUAAGGAACUCGGCAAAAUAACUCCGUAACUUCGGGAGAAGGAGUGCCUUAUUUAUAUAAGGUUGCAAUAACAAGAUCCAAGCAACUGUUUACCAAAAACACAGGUCUCCGCUAAGUCGUAAGACGAUGUAUGGGGGCUGACGCCUGCCCAGUGCCAGAAGGUUAAAGAAGUUGGUUAGCAAUAGCGAAGCUGAUAACUGAAGCCCUGGUGAACGGCGGCCGUAACAAUAACGGUCCUAAGGUAGCGAAAUUCCUUGUCGGGUAAGUUCCGACCCGCACGAAAGGCGUAAUGAUUUGGAUACUGUCUCGGAGAGGGACUCGGUGAAAUAGACUUGUCUGUGAAGAUGCGGACUACCUGCACCUGGACAGAAAGACCCUAUGAAGCUUUACUGUAACUUGAAAUUGAAAUUGGACUUUAUUCGCGCAGUAUAGGUGGGAGGCGUUGAAAAUAAUCUUGCGGGACUAUUGGAGCCAUCAGUGAGAUACCACUCUUAUAAUGUUAGAUUUCUAACUUUGAAUCAUUAUCUGGUCAAAGAACAGUUUCAGGCGGGCAGUUUGGCUGGGGCGGUCGCCUCCCAAACGGUAACGGAGGCGUACAAAGGUUUCCUCUGAACGGGUAGAAAUCGUAUCUAGAGUAUAAAGGCAAAAGGAAGCUUGACUGUGAGACCUACAAGUCGAGCAGGGACGAAAGUCGGUCUUAGUGAUCUGACGGUACUGAGUGGAAAGGCCGUCACUCAACGGAUAAAAGUUACUCUAAGGAUAACAGGCUGAUCUCCCCCAAGAGUUCACAUCGACGGGGAGGUUUGGCACCUCGAUGUCGGCUCAUCGCAUCCUGGGGCGGUAGUACGUCCCAAGGGUUGGGCUGUUCGCCCAUGAAAGCGGUACGCGAGCUGGGUUCAGAACGUCGUGAGACAGUUCGGUCCAUAUCCGGUGUAGGCGUUAGAAUAUUGAGAGGAGCCUUCUUUAGUACGAGAGGACCGAGAAGGACAUACCUCUGGUGUACCAGUUAUCGUGCCAACGGUAAACGCUGGGUAGCUAUGUAUGGAGUGGAUAACCGCUGAAAGCAUCUAAGUGGGAAGCCCACCUCAAGAUGAG